CAGUCGUACCGGCGGGUAAUCAGCCUUUCGGGUGCGAUUCUGUGGAGUUUGAGGAGCUUAACACCUUCAUGCUUUGCAUAUUCGUGCUCUUGGGUGUACUUGCUCGUAUGGUUGGUUAACAUCAAUUUUGGUGGUCAUAAAACGCUGGAGGAAUGUAGCUUCGAUCUCGUAUUGAAGUGUUAUAGCCUUCGGUAAUGUGAUGACUGAGAUUGGAGGUAUUGACAACGGAUACCCGUUCGGGGCCUACC
This 248-nucleotide ribosomal RNA is filed under the name Rhizophagus irregularis. The record is from RNAcentral. Lineage: Eukaryota; Fungi; Glomeromycota; Glomeromycetes; Glomerales; Glomeraceae.